Molecule: long non-coding RNA, 1808 nt
Organism: Peromyscus leucopus (white-footed mouse)
Lineage: Eukaryota; Metazoa; Chordata; Mammalia; Rodentia; Cricetidae
Exons: 2
Source: RefSeq, a predicted model, not a curated record
AAAAAAAAAAAAAAAAAAUCAAUGCAGCAAGUCAGGAGCAAUUGAAGUUCAAGGGCAUGGGCUGGUGGUACCAUUUCUAUUUCUCAGAUCCUCUAGUUGGACAUCAACAGCCCCAGGAGAGAACAGCACGCAGCGCCGCGCGCGGGGCAGAGACCUUAAUUAAAGUUUCUUUUGUCCGCCUCUGAAUUAGGGGUUGUUGCUGGAUUCCUUCGCAUUGAGGAGCGCGCAUCCGGUGAAGGCGCGAUGCUGAGGAUCCUGGGCAAGAUUGUCCUCUUUAAUACUCGCCUCCUCCCCCCUCCCCCACAGUUGGGGCAGCUAGACCGGUAAACCCAUACAAUAAAAGCAGAUGAGGCGCGCACGGAGUCGGUUCCUAUCGGAUAGCGGCAUUUCCUAAGCACAUCUAAAAUCCUCAUUUCCCAAGAUUUUCCCGAUUGUGUAUUCCAGGGCAGAAUGUCUCACCCUGACGCACGAUCUAACCCCCUUCCAGUCAACACUUCCUGCCCUUUUCUCCUCCCACUCACAUUGAAAAGCUCGGGAGCCCUAAAAGGGUGUUGAUGGCUGGGGGUGAUAAAUAAAUAAAUAAAUGACACUACGCGUGCGGUGGCGAAGAAAGGAGGGGGAGGAAGGGGGGGGUCAGGGAGAGGAAAGCGAGGAGAAAGGACUCAGGCGAAAGGGAGCCGGGAGUCAAAGAAAGCAGAGGAAGAAAGGGGAGGAAGAUCGGUGAGGCUGCUCCACAGCGAAAUCCUCCUGGCUUUGUGCUUCUUUCCAGGUACUAGAGGGACCUGAGCAACUCUAUCUGUCCGGAGCUCUUCCCCACCCGGACCCUAAGGGUGUCUGAGUGCUGACCGCCGCUCCCCAUCAAUUCCUCGUGGCCACGAGAGGAAGCGCGCCAGAUUGAAAGCUCCUAUCAGCUGCUGGCUUUCCGAGGCUGCGAUAAAUAUCUUCCUCGACGUGAAGGUACCUUGUGGGCUAGCGUGGUUCCGAAGUGCGGGGAUGGGGACCGCCCCCCCCCUCCCCCAGGCGAGAGGACCCAGCGGCAGGGAGAGAGGAAUGAGCGGAGGUCAGGGGAAACCUGGGGUUUCCAGAGCUUUCGCGGUCGGGGGAAAUGAGCCCUGGGGAGGAGCCUUGCGCCAGCGCCAGCGCGCCCCAACACGCCUUCGACCUCGUAAACCCACUUGGCAAAGGCCGGGGAAGCCGCUGGCGGAGCGGCUGCGGUGAACUCCAGAAAUGAACCUGCGGCGCGACGCCACGGGCUGCCACCCUGGCCAACACUCACCUCGAGCGACCGACAUUGAGAGAGCUCCCGACGCGGCCGCGGGGGCACCUUGCUCCGCCCUCCCGUCCCAGGAGAAGAGGACAAAAAAAGGGGGGGGGGGAGAUGGACUUGGAGAUGGCCCCGCCCUUCAAACGCUCCAAUCCUUGGAAACCAAACCUCCUCUCCAAGCUUCCACGUCUAGAAGGGACAAAGACUGCCAGGAGAUCCAGGCGCUGAUGGGGAGGUGAUGGCUCCUCGCGCUUCUGGGGUGGGUGCUUUUGCAGGGGUAGGUAUCAAGGCUAAGUUUCCAUCCCAAAUGUCACCAAGGGAUGAUCUCUAGGAGGACAGACUGAGUCUUCUGGUAAAGAAGCAAGCUGACUUUUCAAAGCUGUGAAGCAAACAAUUGCAAAACUCCGGCACAGCCCUGCUGUGUUGAAGGUGGAAAACUAAAAUUUCUAUUCCUGAUGCCACAAUCCUUUUUAGUUUUUCUACUUUUAGAAGUCCCAAGUUCUCUAACUCCCCAACUAAAAUAAAUGAAAGACAUUAAACCUAA